Molecule: long non-coding RNA, 507 nt
Organism: Cuculus canorus (common cuckoo)
Lineage: Eukaryota; Metazoa; Chordata; Aves; Cuculiformes; Cuculidae
Exons: 4
Source: RefSeq, a predicted model, not a curated record
GCUUAAAUAGACAAGGUCUUGCAUAGCCUUUAUCUCUGCAGGCUUAGCUCAAGAUACAGAGAACGGGGCCCUUGUGUUCCUCUGUUGCAUCCCACAAGAUACUUUCAGGCAGUAAUGCUUAAAAAAGUCAAGAAUAACAUGUUCUGCUGCGAAGACUUUUUUAAACAACAACUCAUCUAAGUCAGAAGCACUUCACCUAAACCACCUGAUUCCUGCUCACUUGAACGAUUUUUCUUAGACAUGCAGUUUUUAAGCUGUGUUUCAGAAACAGUCUAAAUCAGAAACCAUAAUGAUACAACUACUACAUCUGUAAGAGGGAUUUUAUAUAACUUGGAAUUAAAGAAAUAAAGAGAUUGAUCCAGUCUGAUCUGACAAAAAGGAUAAAUUGACCGAGGGUCUCCAGUCACAAGUCUCAAAUUCAUACAAGGCAUUGAAUCUCCCGGCAUUUGUUUGACCAGCAUUGCACCUAUCGGGUUACCUGUUAGGAAGCCCUAUUAAGGGACAUAA